UUCAUCGGGAUUACUUGGAUACAGUGA
Molecule: non-coding RNA, 27 nt
Filed under: Bombyx mori (domestic silkworm)
Lineage: Eukaryota; Metazoa; Arthropoda; Insecta; Lepidoptera; Bombycidae
Source: RNAcentral